UCGGCUAGGUCUCAACAAGACAUGAACGCAAUGGUUCAAGCCCUAACUCAAGUUAUUGGAAACAACAACAACAGCCCACUUCUUCAACAUCAUGAGCAGCAAAACCGAUCUGACACAGCUGAUCAAAACCAAUCUCAACAUCAACAAGCUCAAGAUCAAGGUAGUAUGUUAUGCAUAUAUUUUGGGGUUUUUUUUUAUUUUCUCUCUUAAUUGUUAAAGCUUUUCUUUUGGUGAUUAUUGUCAAUUUGAUUAUAAUUAAUUAUCAUUCAUAAGCCCUACUUAAUCAUAUUUUUCUUCAAAAACAAAAAAGACUAAUGACUGAGAAGGAUUUCUAUAUGAUUUCAUGUGUUUUAAAGGUAUUUUCUUUCACUUCCAAAAGUUCCACAAUAUAUAUAUAUAUAUAUAUAUAUAUCUUGCUUUUUUUUUUUUCCAAACCAAGAUUUAGAAAUUAUGAUUUAUGAAUGUUUAUCUAGCAAAAAAGAAAUUAUGAAUGUGAUUUGAUCCCACAAAAUUAAAGAUAUAUAUGAUAAAGUCUAAAUGCUAUUGAUUCACUUAUUUUCUAGCACAAUUUUUGGGAUUUUUUAUGUUGUAAAUCAACUUAUAUUAGCACAUUAAUGGCUUCCCAAAUCUCCCUCCCUCACUAUAACCAAAUUCCUAGAAUUUCAACGUUUUUAAUGACAUGUCAUGGGCCUUUUGAGCUAUUCCUUUCUUCCUUUGCGGCCUGGUUGGCGGAUGAUUUCAGAUUAGACUAUUAGAGUCGUUGUUCAUGUCCUAACUUAGCAUAUAUCUUCCUUUUUCAUGUAAAAGCGUGAAUGUGAAGUUAUUCUUUGAUUCUUUCUUUUUCCAUUAAAAACUAGAAACAAAAAGCAAAAGCAAAAGUUUUCGUCUGAUGUUUACCUUGAAAAAAACGUGAGCUGUUAAAGGAAACGCGAGGAGAAGACACUAUAGAGGAGUAAGGCAAAGGCCAUGGGGGAAAUGGGCAGCUGAAAUAAGAGAUCCAAAGAAGG
Molecule: long non-coding RNA, 1007 nt
Filed under: Durio zibethinus
Lineage: Eukaryota; Viridiplantae; Streptophyta; Magnoliopsida; Malvales; Malvaceae
Description: long non-coding RNA (DZIB_LNC000180)
Source: RNAcentral